This 470-nucleotide ribosomal RNA is filed under the name uncultured bacterium. Its description in RNAcentral is "bacterial SSU rRNA". It matches the Rfam family "Bacterial small subunit ribosomal RNA", at positions 28 to 507 of the family's 1533-position model. The record is from RNAcentral.
GACGAACGCUGGCGGCGUGGAUUAGGCAUGCAAGUCGGACGGUAGGGCUUUAUCGUAAGAUAGAGUUUGAGAGUGGCGAACGGGUGAGUAACACGUAGGAAUCUACCCUUAAGACGGGGACAACCCAGGGAAACUUGGGCUAAUACCGGAUGAGAGUGCGAGAGAUUGCAUUUAAAAGGAUGGCGAAAGUUGUCGCUUAGGGAUGAGCCUGCGGUCUAUUAGUUAGUUGGUGAGGUAAGAGCUCACCAAGGCGAUGAUAGAUAGGCGGCCUUAACGGGUGGUCGCCCACACUGGGAUUGAGAUACGGCCCAGACUCCUACGGGAGGCAGCAGUUGGGAAUCUUAGGCAAUGGACGAAAGUCUGACCUAGCGACGCCGCGUGAGGGAAGAAGGCCUUCGGGUUGUAAACCUCUGUCAUGGGGGAAGAAGUAAGUGACGGUACCCCAAGAGGAAGCCCCUGCUAACUACGUG